UUGUGCAAGGACCGAAAAACGCUUGACAUGGACAAAAGAGGAGGAUCUUAGAUUGGUCAGCGCUUGGUUGAAUAAUUCAAACGACCCCAUCCAAUCAAAUUACAAGAAGAACGAGCAAUAUUGGAAAGAGGUUGCUGCUGUCUACAAUAGUACCACCCCUAAAAAUAGGGCAAGGCUAGUCAAGCAAGUGAAGGAUCGCUUUGGGAGAAUUAAGAAAAAGGUUGCAUGGUUUUGUGCGAGUUGGAAGGAGGCUAAUGCUUUGUAUGCUAGUGGAGAAUCUGAUGUAGAUUUAAAGAAGAGGGCAAUGCAAACUUAUGAGGAAGAUCACAAAGAAGAUGGUCCGUUUAUGUUUGAGCAUUGUUGGGAGUUUCUCAAAAAGCAACCAAAGUGGGACGCAUAUUUGGAACGCCUAGAAGAUCUGGAGCCAGAAAAGAGAAAGUUUAGCGUUGAUGAUGAAGUGGGGCAGCAUUUCACUCUAGAUGAUGCUCGAGAUGAACGACCACCGGGUGGCAAGCAAGCUAAAGAGCAGCGGAAACGAAAAAGAAAGGAUGAAAGUUGCAUAAUAGAUCUUGAAGAUGAGCUUAGCAAGUUCGUAGAUGCUCAGAAUGCAGCAAAUGAGGGACGCAAAGAGAUGUUAGAGACACAAAGGCGCGUGUCUAGUGAAAAUCUUGAAGCUCGGAAGCUUGCAUGCCUUGCAGCAAAAGAUCACAAGGAGUCUGUCAUGCUAGAGACAUACCGAUCGUUGAUGAUGCAAGACACAACUGGAAUGCUUGAAGAUGUGAGAUCAGAGCACGUGUUGGCAUUGAAGUGUUUUAGGGAGAGGUUAUUUGGCAAAACUGACUAAGUGCUUGAAGGUUGUUGAUGCAAAUGGUUAGCUGCUCCUUUCUACCGAAGUUCCAACUGUGGCUUUGUGCCUUUAUCAUCAUCAAGAUCAAACUACUAUCUUAUUUGCUGGAGACCAUAUUUAGUAUUUUGUUAGGCUAACGCUUUCUUCUAAAGAGUCAUGUAAUGUUGAAUUGUUGAUGUCAAGGUGCGGUGUGCCAUUAGUUUCUUGCUCAUUGUCAUCAAGAUCAAAAUUAAUUUCUAAUCAGUAUGGUGCUAUGUAGCAUUUGUU
Long non-coding RNA from Lolium rigidum, 1114 nucleotides. RefSeq lists it as uncharacterized. Lineage: Eukaryota; Viridiplantae; Streptophyta; Magnoliopsida; Poales; Poaceae. The transcript has 3 exons. The record is from RefSeq and is a predicted model, not a curated record.